CGUCAUCACUUCAAAACUCAUCAUCAACAGUAAAUCUCUCUACAACGACAGAUUCAAUGAAAGGAAAAGAGAAUCUUAAAACUCGAUGCUUGAUUAAAUGAAUCUCAAAACCCAUUUCUCAAAAACCCAUUAAGCAUAAAAAAUCUCAUACUUGCAAUUGAUUGCUUUCCCAUUGUAAUAUGAUUCCAACGGAGAUUGACUUCAUCAAAAACCUAUUAGGGGCGGAGGCAUACCGGCGGUGAGCAAACAUGGUUCACGUUGCCUUUUACCGUAACUAUGGCAAAACUUUCAAGAAGCCACGUCGUCCAUAUGAGAAGGAGCGUUUAGAUGCUGAGUUGAAGCUCGUCCGAGAGUACGGUCUUCGCUGCAAGCGCGAGCUUUGGAGGGUUCAAUAUGCUCUUAGCCGUAUCCGUAACAAUUCUAGGACACUUUUGACACUGGAUGAGAAGAAUCCUCGUCGGAUCUUUGAGGGUGAAGCACUUUUGAGGAGAAUGUUCAAACAUGGUCUUCUUGAUGAAACACAAAACAAGCUUGAUUAUGUGUUGGCUCUCACUGUUGAGAAUUUUCUUGAACGUCGUCUUCAGACUCUUGUGUUCAAAUCUGGCAUGGCUAAGUCUAUUCAUCAUGCUAGGGUUCUAAUCAGGCAGAGGCACAUCAGGGUUGGGAGGCAGGUUGUGAACAUCCCAUCCUUCAUGGUAAGGGUUGAUUCACAGAAGCACAUUGACUUUUCACUCACAAGUCCAUUCGGUGGUGGUCUUCCUGGUCGUGUGAAGCGUAAGAACCUUAAGGCUGCAGCCAAGAAGGCUUCCGGUGGUGAUGGUGAUGAGGAGGAUGAAGAUUAAAUUAUGAUUUUCAUUUUCUUAGAUCCUUGCUCUAGCCUUUUUAUAUCUGUCCUAGACUUUAGAUUUUCUAUCAUGCAAAUGACUUUUACCGUUUUCCCAUCCCUGUUUAUUGUGUGAGGAAAUCUUUGCUCAAAACAUGUUGUUUUUGAUCUUUUCUUUUCCAAGUAUUAAGUUUUGCUCCAAUACAUUUGAAAAAAUAAAAUAAAAAUGAUUCCAACGGAGAUUUGAUUUUGUGUAUGUGGUUGUGAUUCUGAAAAGGACCG
Molecule: long non-coding RNA, 1105 nt
Filed under: Medicago truncatula (barrel medic)
Lineage: Eukaryota; Viridiplantae; Streptophyta; Magnoliopsida; Fabales; Fabaceae
Description: long non-coding RNA (MTRU_LNC005213)
Source: RNAcentral